UGGACCUAACCUGCCUGGAGGUCGUCUCAUCAUUCAAAUGUUUCGUUGUUUACCUGAGAGCAUUGAGAAGACCUUCUACACUGUUAGGAGGUUAGUCCUUAAAAACUUUGAUACAACCUUUCAUAUCAAUUUUGGAAGUUUUGGCAAAUGCUCCCACUGGAUGGGCGUGGUCAUAGAGUUUUAUGAUACCCACCAUUACCCUCAAGCAGAACGAUACUGUCUCUUCAUUGGUAAAUCUGCUCCUGUAUUCCAACAUCUCCAGCAUGACUCUGCAUACACUUGCCAUGGUGCUUAAACAGUCUGUGGUGUUUUCUAUUGGUAAAUUCUUAUUCUCUGAUACAAAUUUUGUUGUUGCAUCACUUAAGGUUUUCAGCAUGGGGGUGGCCUCAGCAUAAAACAAAGACAUUCGAUUUGCCAACUCAUUAUUUACUUCAUUUUCUCCUUCUGCCGGUACGUUGUUAAUUCUCAUCCGACUCAACGUCCUUCUGUAGUAGCUGAAGUCAUUCUUUAUUGGCAGGGUUUGUCAUCUUGAGUUCAUCAAAGCGGAGUGUGAAGUGAAGAAUCUCUGCAAACUGUUUAGCAAGAGCCUGCUCUCGCCCUAGAUACUGGGUGGGGGAGUACGGUGUGCUAGUCAAGGCUCCCAGAAGGCCUCUCAAUGCUGCUUCUAGCCUCUGAGAAAAUUCGUAAAACUUCUUUAAUUUGCCUACUAGUGGCACAGCCGCACCCCAUGCCUUCUCUUGCAGCUUCUCAUCCGCUGGAUGCUGGAUUGCCUCUUGUAUUUCGUGGCCAGCUCCUCUGUAUGACUGCGAGUCCUCCAAGAUGCCUUCUGCAUCUUUUAAUAUUACAUUCACCUGAUUAUAUAUUUCCUUCUCAGACUUUGUAGGCUGGGCAUUUUCAAAAAUCAAGGAAAAAAUUUGGCCCCUGCUCAAGGUCUGUGCAUGUCAAAACUUUAAGAAGAUUCCCCAUGUUAAGGUACCUUCAGCCAGUGCUGGUGAUUCUGUCCUUGUCCUUCUAUCCGCCGCGAGCUCGGGCGCUCGCUCGC
RNAcentral lists this long non-coding RNA (1042 nucleotides) under Cricetulus griseus (Chinese hamster). RNAcentral's name for it is "lncRNA (ENSCGRG00015031241.1)". Lineage: Eukaryota; Metazoa; Chordata; Mammalia; Rodentia; Cricetidae. The record is from RNAcentral.